AGUCUUCAGGGCAUGGUGAAAUUCCAUACCGGCGGUAAAGCCCGCGAGCAUAUGCAUGAUUCGGUGAAAUUCCGAGGCCGACAGUAAAGUCUGGAUGAGAGAAG
Molecule: non-coding RNA, 104 nt
Filed under: bovine gut metagenome
Description: FMN riboswitch (RFN element)
Rfam family: FMN riboswitch aptamer (RFN element)
About the family: The RFN element is a highly conserved domain that is found frequently in the 5'-untranslated regions of prokaryotic mRNAs that encode for flavin mononucleotide (FMN) biosynthesis and transport proteins. This element is a metabolite-dependent riboswitch that directly binds FMN in the absence of proteins. In Bacillus subtilis, the riboswitch most likely controls gene expression by causing premature transcription termination within the 5' untranslated region of the ribDEAHT operon and precluding access to the ribosome-binding site of ypaA mRNA.
Source: RNAcentral